RNAcentral lists this ribosomal RNA (460 nucleotides) under uncultured bacterium. RNAcentral describes it as "partial 16S ribosomal RNA". It matches the Rfam family "Bacterial small subunit ribosomal RNA", at positions 339 to 795 of the family's 1533-position model. The record is from RNAcentral.
CUACGGGCCGCAGCAGUGAGGAAUAUUGGACAAUGGUCGAAAGACUGAUCCAGCCAUGCCGCGUGCAGGAUGACUGCCCUAUGGGUUGUAAACUGCUUUUAUACGGGAAGAAAAACACCUACGUGUAGGUGACUGACGGUACCGUAAGAAUAAGGACCGGCUAACUCCGUGCCAGCAGCCGCGGGUAAUACGGAGGGUCCAAGCGUUAUCCGGAAUCAUUGGGUUUAAAGGGUCCGUAGGCGGGCUAUUAAGUCAGAGGUGAAAGUUUGCAGCUCAACUGUAAAAUUGCCUUUGAUACUGAUAGUCUUGAAUUGUAGUGAAGUGGUUAGAAUAUGUGGUGUAGCGGUGAAAUGCAUAGAUAUCACAUAGAAUACCGAUUGCGAAGGCAGAUCACUAACUAUAUAUUGACGCUGAGGGACGAAAGCGUGGGGAGCGAACGGGAUUAGAUACCCCUGUAGUC